This 103-nucleotide ribosomal RNA is filed under the name uncultured bacterium. Its description in RNAcentral is "partial 16S ribosomal RNA". It matches the Rfam family "Bacterial small subunit ribosomal RNA", at positions 1379 to 1482 of the family's 1533-position model. The record is from RNAcentral.
CCUUGUACACACCGCCCGUCACGCCAUGGGAGUUGGCAGUACCCGAAGUCGAUGACCCAACCUCGUGAAGGAGUCGCCGAAGGUAAGGCCGAUGACUGGGGCG